CAGCAGCCACGGUAAUACAGAGGAUGCAAGCGUUAUCCGGAAUGAUUGGGCGUAAAGCGUCUGUAGGUGGCUUUUCAAGUCCGCCGUCAAAUCCCAGGGCUCAACCCUGGACAGGCGGUGGAAACUACCAAGCUGGAGUACGGUAGGGGCAGAGGGAAUUUCCAGUGGAGCGGUGAAAUGCGUUGAGAUCGAAAAGAACACCAACAGCGAAAGCACUCUGCUGGGACGACACUGACACUAAGAGACGAAAGCUAGGGGAGCAAAUGGGAUUAGAUACCCGGGUAGUCCCUGUCUCUUAUAC
RNAcentral lists this ribosomal RNA (301 nucleotides) under uncultured bacterium. Its description in RNAcentral is "partial 16S ribosomal RNA". It matches the Rfam family "Bacterial small subunit ribosomal RNA", at positions 509 to 807 of the family's 1533-position model. The record is from RNAcentral.